CCUACGGGUGACUGCAGUGAGGAAUAUUGGUCAAUGGGCGCUAGCCUGAACCAGCCAAGUAGCGUGAAGGAUGACUGCCCUAUGGGUUGUAAACUUCUUUUAUAUGGGAAUAAAGUGCAGUAUGUAUACUGCUUUGCAUGUACCUUAUGAAUAAGGAUCGGCUAACUCGGUGCCAGCAGCCGCGGUAAUACGGAGGAUCCGAGCGUUAUCCGGAUUUAUUGGGUUUAAAGGGAGCGUAGGCGGUUUGUUAAGUCAGUUGUGAAAGUUUGCGGCUCAACCGUAAAAUUGCAGUUGAUACUGGCAGCCUUGAGUACAGUAGAGGUAGGCGGAAUUCGUUGUGUAGCGGUGAAAUGCUUAGAUAUCACGAAGAACUCCGAUUGCGAAGGCAGCCUGCUGGACUGUAACUGACGCGGAUGCUCGAAAGUGUGGGUAUCAAACAGGAUUAGAUACCCGUGUAGUC
RNAcentral lists this ribosomal RNA (460 nucleotides) under uncultured bacterium. Its description in RNAcentral is "partial 16S ribosomal RNA". It matches the Rfam family "Bacterial small subunit ribosomal RNA", at positions 338 to 795 of the family's 1533-position model. The record is from RNAcentral.